GUUAUCGUCUGUCAGAACCUCCGGGGCCAGAAACUCUGGAGUCCCACAGAACGUCGAGGUCCGAUCUCCGUGACCCAUCCCUGAAGAGAUAAAACCCCACAGGUCCUCUCAUCAGCAGAGUCCAAAGUCUGUGAUCUUCACGAAUCCGUCUGCGUCCAUCAGCAGGUUGUCGAGCUUCAGAUCUCUGAAUGAAACAAAGAAAGCUGCAGUAAACGUUUCGCGUUCUUCCUCUCACCUGGUCUGGGCCUCGGUGAACACGUUGUUGUGGAUGUGGAUCAUCAGGUCUCCUCCUGCUAGAUACUCCAUGACGAAGCAGACGUGGUCUCCGGUCUGGAAGCAGCCGUGAAGGUUGACAAGGAACGGAUGUCUGGAGGCGUUGAUCAUCUCAAAGAUCCUCUUCUCGCUCAUCAGGCUGCAGAACGACAGCGUGGAUCAGCACCACUCGCUCUGAAGAACCUUCUCUCUGCUCCUGAGAACGUUAAAGACCUCCACGACAAAUUCAGACGGUGAGUAGUUCUCUGAGGCGAUGAUGUUGGAGGUUUGAUCCUCCUGAGAGUUUGGAUCCUCGCUGAGGUUCAGUCUGAUCACUGGAGCGUCACUGGAGGAGAAAAGAGGAAAAACAUCCAGAUCCUUCACUGAAAUCUGAACGCGUUCUCAGCUCUACUUCCAGCCAAACUGCAGUGUUUGGUCCUGAACAGGUUUAAAGCCUCUGAGCGACCUGGGCGGCGUGGCGGUGCAUUCAGGCUCCUUCUCGGCCGG
This is a long non-coding RNA of Acanthochromis polyacanthus (spiny chromis), 759 nucleotides long. RefSeq lists it as uncharacterized. The record is from RefSeq and is a predicted model, not a curated record. Lineage: Eukaryota; Metazoa; Chordata; Actinopteri; Pomacentridae. The transcript is spliced from 5 exons.